AAAAAAAAAAAAAAAAAAAAUCACUAGUGUCAAUUUGACAAAAAGUUCAAAUCCUCCUCCCAGGAAUCAAGCAGCAACUUCUUGCUCCUUUGAAGCAAGCUGGUUUUGAAUGUGUUGAGGGACAACAUCAAACUUGGAUAAUUGCAUGGUAUAGGAUGCGCGACCUUUUGUCAUUCCCCUAAGAGUACUAACAUAUUGAAACAUCUCCGCCAGCGGAACAAGGGCAUCAACCACCUUCAGGCCACCAGGUUUGUCACCGAAGCUGUUAAUCUGACCUCUUCUAGAGUUGAGAUCACCAAUAACAUCUCCCAAAUGUUCUUCAGGGGUGACCACUUCAACUUUCAUUAUAGGUUCUAGCAUCUUUGGGCCAGCUCUCUUCAUGCCAUCUCGGAAAGCUCCCCUAGCUGCCAAUUGAAAUGCCAAAACACUUGAAUCCACAUCAUGGUAAGAACCAUCUACCAACACAGCACGUACAUCCACCACAGGAUAACCUGCAAGUACUCCAUUAUUCAUGCACUCUUCC
Molecule: unclassified non-coding RNA, 523 nt
Filed under: Hevea brasiliensis (rubber tree)
Lineage: Eukaryota; Viridiplantae; Streptophyta; Magnoliopsida; Malpighiales; Euphorbiaceae
Source: RNAcentral